GAUGAGUUGCGAACGGGUGAGUAACGCGUAGGUAACCUACCUCAUAGCGGGGGAUAACUAUUGGAAACGAUAGCUAAUACCGCAUGACAAUUAAGUACUCAUGUACUAAAUUUAAAAGGAGCAAUUGCUUCACUAUGAGAUGGACCUGCGUUGUAUUAGCUAGUUGGUGAGGUAACGGCUCACCAAGGCCACGAUACAUAGCCGACCUGAGAGGGUGAUCGGCCACACUGGGACUGAGACACGGCCCAGACUCCUACGGGAGGCAGCAGUAGGGAAUCUUCGGCAAUGGGGGCAACCCUGACCGAGCAACGCCGCGUGAGUGAAGAAGGUUUUCGGAUCGUAAAGCUCUGUUGUUAGAGAAGAACGGUAAUGGGAGUGGAAAAUCCAUUACGUGACGGUAACUAACCAGAAAGGGACGGCUAACUACGUGCCAGCAGCCGCGGUAAUACGUAGGUCUCGAGCGUUGUCCGGAUUUAUUGGGCGUAAAGCGAGCGCAGGCGGUUAUUUAAGUCUGAAGUUAAAGGCCGUGGCUCAACCAUGGUUCGCUUUGGAAACUGGAUAACUUGAGUGCAGAAGGGGAGAGUGGAAUUCCAUGUGUAGCGGUGAAAUGCGUAGAUAUAUGGAGGAACACCGGUGGCGAAAGCGGCUCUCUGGUCUGUAACUGACGCUGAGGCUCGAAAGCGUGGGGAGCAAACAGGAUUAGAUACCCUGGUAGUCCACGCCGUAAACGAUGAGUGCUAGGUGUUAGGCACUUUCCGGGGCUUAGUGCCGCAGCUAACGCAUUAAGCACUCCGCCUGGGGAGUACGACCGCAAGGUUGAAACUCAAAGGAAUUGACAGGGGGCCCGCACAAGCGGUGGAGCAUGUGGUUUAAUUCGAAGCAACGCGAAGAACCUUACCAGGUCUUGACGUCCCUCUGACCGUCCUAGAGAUAGGACUUUCCUUCGGGACAGAGGUGACAAGUGGUGCACGGUUGUCGUCAGCUC
RNAcentral lists this ribosomal RNA (985 nucleotides) under Streptococcus parauberis. RNAcentral describes it as "bacterial SSU rRNA". It matches the Rfam family "Bacterial small subunit ribosomal RNA", at positions 90 to 1061 of the family's 1533-position model. Lineage: Bacteria; Bacillati; Bacillota; Bacilli; Lactobacillales; Streptococcaceae. The record is from RNAcentral.